Molecule: non-coding RNA, 104 nt
Organism: Capsicum annuum
Lineage: Eukaryota; Viridiplantae; Streptophyta; Magnoliopsida; Solanales; Solanaceae
Source: Rfam
CUCUUUAUGUUAGAAGACAUUAGACAAAAUUGGAAUGAUAUAGAGAAAAUUAGCAUAACCCCUACACAAGGAUAGAAAUAAACAAAGAACUUCAAUACAGUCAU